CGAAGGUGGCAAGCGUUGUUCGGAUUACUGGGCGUACAGGGAGCGUAGACGGUUGGAUAAGCCCUCCGUGAAAUCUCCAGGCUUAACCUGGAAAGUGCAGAGGGGACUGUUCAGCUAGAGGAUGGGAGAGGAGCGCGGAAUUCCCGGUGUAGCGGUGAAAUGCGUAGAGAUCGGGAGGAAGGCCGGUGGCGAAGGCGGCGCUCUGGAACAUUUCUGACGCUGAGGCUCGAAAGCGUGGGGAGCAAACAGGAUUAGAUACCCUGGUAGUCCACGCCUUAAACGAUGGAUACUAAGUGUCGGCGGGUUACCGCCGGUGCCGCAGCUAACGCAGUAAGUAUCCCGCCUGGGAAGUACGGCCGCAAGGUUG
This 367-nucleotide ribosomal RNA is filed under the name uncultured organism. Its description in RNAcentral is "bacterial SSU rRNA". It matches the Rfam family "Bacterial small subunit ribosomal RNA", at positions 526 to 896 of the family's 1533-position model. The record is from RNAcentral.